UUUAAAGAGAGUUUGAUCCUGGCUCAGGACGAACGCUGGCGGCGUGCCUAAUACAUGCAAGUCGAACGAACGGAGGAAGAGCUUGCUCUUCCAAAGUUAGUGGCGGACGGGUGAGUAACACGUGGGCAACCUGCCUGUAAGUUGGGGAUAACUCCGGGAAACCGGGGCUAAUACCGAAUGAUAAAGUGUGGCGCAUGCCACGCUUUUGAAAGAUGGUUUCGGCUAUCGCUUACA
RNAcentral lists this ribosomal RNA (234 nucleotides) under Listeria monocytogenes. RNAcentral describes it as "partial 16S ribosomal RNA". It matches the Rfam family "Bacterial small subunit ribosomal RNA", at positions 1 to 223 of the family's 1533-position model. Lineage: Bacteria; Bacillati; Bacillota; Bacilli; Caryophanales; Listeriaceae. The record is from RNAcentral.